RNAcentral lists this ribosomal RNA (396 nucleotides) under uncultured bacterium. RNAcentral describes it as "partial 16S ribosomal RNA". It matches the Rfam family "Bacterial small subunit ribosomal RNA", at positions 523 to 917 of the family's 1533-position model. The record is from RNAcentral.
AUACGUAGGGGGCGAGCGUUGUCCGGAAUGGUUGGGCGUAAAGGGCGCGUAGGCGGCGCGGUAAGUCUGGAGUGAAAGUCCUGCUUUCAAGGUGGGAAUUGCUUUGGAUACUGCCGCGCUUGAGUGCAGGAGAGGUUAUCGGAAUUCCCGGUGUAGCGGUGAAAUGCGUAGAGAUCGGGAGGAACACCAGUGGCGAAGGCGGGUAACUGGACUGCAACUGACGCUGAGGCGCGAAAGUGUGGGGAGCAAACAGGAUUAGAUACCCUGGUAGUCCACACUGUAAACGAUGAAUGCUAGGUGUAAGAGGUAUCGACCCCUUUUGUGCCGGAGUCAACACAAUAAGCAUUCCGCCUGGGGAGUACGGCCGCAAGGUUGAAACUCAAAUGAAUUGACGGG